CCACGGGAGGCAGCAGUGGGGAAUAUUGGACAUGGGCGGAAGCCUGAUCCAGCAAUGCCGCGUGAGUGAUGAAGGCCUUAGGGUUGUAAAGCUCUUUUACUAGGGAUGAUAAUGACAGUACCUGGAGAAUAAGCUCCGGCUAACUCCGUGCCAGCAGCCGCGGUAAUA
Molecule: ribosomal RNA, 168 nt
Filed under: uncultured Alphaproteobacteria bacterium
Lineage: Bacteria; Pseudomonadati; Pseudomonadota; Alphaproteobacteria
Description: partial 16S ribosomal RNA
Rfam family: Bacterial small subunit ribosomal RNA
Source: RNAcentral